RNAcentral lists this ribosomal RNA (450 nucleotides) under uncultured bacterium. RNAcentral describes it as "partial 16S ribosomal RNA". It matches the Rfam family "Bacterial small subunit ribosomal RNA", at positions 338 to 795 of the family's 1533-position model. The record is from RNAcentral.
CCUACGGGUGGCUGCAGUGGGGAAUUUUGCGCAAUGGGGGAAACCCUGACGCAGCAACGCCGCGUGAGUGAUGAAGGCUUUCGGGUCGUAAAGCUCUGUCUAGAGGGAAGAAAUGAUAUUUGGUUAAUACCCGGAUUUCUUGACGGUACCUCUGAAGGAAGCACCGGCUAACUCCGUGCCAGCAGCCGCGGUAAUACGGAGGGUGCAAGCGUUGUUCGGAUUUAUUUGGCCUAAUUCGCAUGUAGGCGGUGAAAGCCCUGGGCUCAACCUGGGAAGUGCAUUGGAAACUGGCAGACUUGAAUACGGGAGAGGGUAGUGGAAUUCCUAGUGUAGGAGUGAAAUCCGUAGAUAUUAGGAGGAACACCGGUGGCGAAGGCGGCUACCUGGACCGAUAUUGACGCUGAGACGCGAAAGCGUGGGGAGCAAACAGGAUUAGAUACCCCGGUAGUC